GAGUUUGAUCCUGGCUCAGAUUGAACGCUGGCGGCAUGCCUUACACAUGCAAGUCGAGCGGCAGCGCGGGGGCAACCCUGGCGGCGAGCGGCGAACGGGUGAGUAAUACAUCGGAACGUGUCCUGUCGUGGGGGAUAAACCAGUCGAAAAGAUUGGCUAAAUACCGCAUGACCUCGUAAGAGAAAAGCGGGGGAACCGUAAGGCCUCGCGCGACUGGAGCGGCCGAUGUCGGAUUAGCUAGUUGGCGGGGUAAAAGCCCACCAAGGCGACGAUCCGUAGCUGGUUUGAGAGGAACGACCAGCCACACUGGGACUGAGACACGGCCCAGACUCCUACGGGAGGCAGCAGUGGGGAAUUUUGG
RNAcentral lists this ribosomal RNA (361 nucleotides) under uncultured beta proteobacterium. RNAcentral's name for it is "bacterial SSU rRNA". It matches the Rfam family "Bacterial small subunit ribosomal RNA", at positions 9 to 367 of the family's 1533-position model. Lineage: Bacteria; Pseudomonadati; Pseudomonadota; Betaproteobacteria. The record is from RNAcentral.